Solanum stenotomum is the source of this 762-nucleotide long non-coding RNA. RefSeq lists it as uncharacterized. NCBI's taxonomy places the organism in Eukaryota, Viridiplantae, Streptophyta, Magnoliopsida, Solanales, Solanaceae. The record is from RefSeq and is a predicted model, not a curated record. The transcript has 3 exons.
UAAAAUUCUAAAAAAACAAAGACAAAGGAUGCUUUAUUUCUCAAAAUAGUGUCGCGAAUAAGAAAACCCUAGCAACAUCUGCUUGGUAGCGAUCUCAGCAUAACUCAUAGCUCUCAGCAUUUCAUCUGUGUUUUCUCAAAACAGAGAAACCACAGGUCUGCCGAGCAGAGAUCUCAACUCAAUCUCUAUUUUCUAUCUUACUCGAAUCUCAGGUUAUGGCACCUAGUAAGCAAUGGAUGCAACUUUUUAUUGAAAAUCGAGUCGACCAAGCCUACUUAGAUGAGGUGAAAAAGUUCUUGAAUUAUGCUAUUUUGAGUAUUUGAGAAGAAAAUUAAAUACUAUGUCCACCUUCUCGUCAAUUUAUUAUCUUCUAUCUAUUUGCUAAUGAGUUGUGGUCUGAGCACCUUCUGGCUUUCUCCAGGUUUGUAAGGAAGAGACGAGAACAAGAACUUACAAACUUAAUCAUAUCUUCUAGUCAAGGAAAGGGUGCGAUACACAAGAACUCAAUGGUUCUUAAACUAGACUAUAUGAAAGUUAAGACUACAUUUACCAAUCAACUAAAGAAAUACAUCCAAGAAGUUGAAACAAAUUUUGAAGAUUGAAGUUACAAGUCAAGAUACAUGUAUAGAAGAUGCAAAAGAUCAUUAUUAUUUUGCUAUGGAGUUAUGCAAAACUUGAUAUUAUAGUGUAGCUUGAGAUGUUAAUUAGCUAAGCUUUUUUGUUAAGAAAAUAUUGAAACUAACAUCAUGGGAUGAUAGCCAA